Molecule: long non-coding RNA, 898 nt
Organism: Papaver somniferum (opium poppy)
Lineage: Eukaryota; Viridiplantae; Streptophyta; Magnoliopsida; Ranunculales; Papaveraceae
Exons: 6
Source: RefSeq, a predicted model, not a curated record
CGCAACCCUAGAAAUUUCAGGCCGCAGAUUAAAAAGUUGGAGGUCCACGAAAGACAAGGAACAAAAAUAUGCUGGGACCUUUUAUUACCUCAACUAAGGCAUGACGAGGUUAUGUUCCAUCAGUUGGAUAUUGGGGACGGGGUCCAACCAAUAUCAGACCGUGGAUUAACAAUUUGGACUCCACAAGGACGGGGACAAGCGGAAAUCGACAACCUACACAGAUCUAUACAAUCUCUUAGAUCUCUCUAUACUGUGAAUAUCUAAGUAUUGUUCUGAUUCAAGGUUUCAGAACAAUUGGGUGAUCAAGCCCCGGUGUUCUCCAAGGCUAGGUACACUGUUAGAUCUUUUGGAAUCAGUCGUAAUGAAAAGAUUGCUUGUUACGUUUCUGUGAGAGGUGAGAAAGCUAUGCAACUUGUUAAAAGUGGAUUGAAGGUCAAGGAAUACGAGUUAUUGAGGAUAAACUUCAGUAAUACUGGGUAUUUUGGGUUGUUCUUGGGAAUUAAUGAAUGAAGCAUUUAGCCUAUGAGUGACGAAUGCAAAUGAGCAAGAUGGGAAGUGGCAAAGUGCUCAGGAGACACCAUAAAUGAAUCAAUAAUGAUGCUUCACCAUCGUCAUGCUCUGCAAUCCAUGUGAAUUGGUUUGAUAGAGCAGCUAGUCGAGGUGUCUACUGCUUGUACCUGCUAUAGCGAUUACUGAUAGAGGAAGUCAUUGGCGUUGAAGUGUUUUUGGCUUUUUGCUCAAGAUUGUAGCUGCAAUUAGAUUCUUGGUAAUGAACAUCCUUAUACUCACAUCUAUUUUGUCACGAAGACCAUCAAUGCUGGGUGAAUUCCAUCAAAACUGCAUGUGAUUGAGCUUGGUACCGAGCCAGGUCUGCUAAAGAACAACCCUAAGGUUAAGG